This 2394-nucleotide ribosomal RNA is filed under the name Triticum aestivum (bread wheat). Its description in RNAcentral is "partial small subunit ribosomal RNA". The record is from RNAcentral. Lineage: Eukaryota; Viridiplantae; Streptophyta; Magnoliopsida; Poales; Poaceae.
AUGAUGAGGUACGUGGAGCUGUGCGUGGAUCUGAGGAAGGGCAGGUUCGCCAAGGACGGCCUCAUCCAGUACUCCAGAAUCGUCUGCCAGCAGCAGCUCAACAACGUGUCGUCUCUGGAGGAGGUCGUCAAACACUUCAUGCAGCUGUCCAGCAAGAAGGCCGAGGAAGCCGCCAUGGAUCACCAGGCACAGGCUCCGGAUGUCCAUGACCUGGAAGCACCGGAGGACCUGAUGCUCAGCUACGUUAGCGGGAAGGACCGGUCUGACUCUGACACCCCGUGGCUCAAGUUCCUGUGGGAGACGUACAGGACGGUGCUGGAGGUGCUGAGGAACAACUCCAAGCUCGAAGCGCUGUAUGCCAUGGUUGCGCACAAGGCCUUUCAGUUCUGCAAGCAGUAUAAGAGAUCCACCGAGUUCCGUCGGCUGUGUGAGAUGGUCAGAAACCAUCUUGCAAAUCUGAACAGAUCAUAUCGAGAUCGUCCUGAUCUGACCGCCCCUGAGAGCUGUCAGCUGUACCUUGACACCAGGGUUGAGCAACUGAAGGUUGCUGCAGAGCUUUCGCUUUCCCAGGAAGCCUUCCGAUCCGUCGAGGACAUCCAUGGCUUGAUGAGCAUGGUUCAGAGGACUCCAAAACCAUCCGUCCUGGCCGUGUAUUACGCCAAGCUGACUGAGAUAUUCUGGACAUCUGAGAGUCACUACUUGUACCAUGCAUAUGCAUGGCUGGAGCUCUUCAACUUGCACAGGAGUCACAAUAAGAAUUUAACUCGGAAGGAUCUGCAGUUACUAGCGUCUUCUGCUUUGCUCGCCGCACUUUCUGUUACACCAUAUUAUGACCAUGAGUCUGGUCUAUCUCAUCUGGAGCUUGAAAACGAAAAGGAGCGCAGCUCGCGUAUGGCCAACCUUCUCAAUUUCUCCUUUGACUCCAAGCGUGAGAACAGAGAACAGGUUUCAAGAGCAUCUCUUCUUUCUGAGUUGGCUGCCAGCGGUGUGGUUUCAUGUGCUUCCCAGGAAGUGCAAGAUCUAUACAACCUUAUGGAGCAUGAGUUCCUUCCUCUGGAUCUAGCAUCAAAAGUGCAACCUCUGCUUUCCAAGAUUUCUACCGUCGGAGGAAAGCUUUCAGCUGCGCCUUCUGUUCCGGAGAUUCAGUUAUCGCAGUACCAACCUGCAUUGGAGAAGCUUACUACACUGAGGGUGCUGCAGCAGGCAUCUCGUGUUUUCCAGUCCAUGAGAAUUGAUACACUCUCUAGAAUGAUCCCCUUCUUUGAUUUCAAUGUCGUGGAGAAGAUCGCUGUUGAUGCCGUCAAGCACAAUUUUGUUGCUAUGAAAGUUGACCAUUUGUCUGGAGCUGUUCGUUUCAGCAACACAGAGAUAGAAUCUGAUGUGUUUGGUGCUAGUCACCUUAUUGGUGUCCUCGCUGAUUCCCUAAACAAAGCUGUGCAUAAGCCAUCCGAAGUCGGUGAAGACUCGAUUAGUCUUGCUGGAGUGGUGGAGAAAGAACAUCAAAGGCUUCUCGCAAGGAAAUCAUUCAUUGAAAAACGUAAGGAAGACUAUGAGCGUCAGAUAUUGGAAAAGGAAAAAGCAGAGGAGGCAAAGAGAUUGAGCAUUCAGAAGAAAUCCGCAGACGAAGAAAGGGAGAGGCUUUUGAAGGAACGGAGGCUCAGGGAGCAGCAGAGGAUCCGUCAGGAAAUAGAGGACAGAGCGCAGAGAGAAAUAGGAAAAACAGAACAAAAAGUAACAAAACAAGGCGCCAUGGAGCUUGUAUCGCGUUACCUAGCUUAUAAAAUGUCGCGUCAGGGGAUGGAGAAGAAGCUGGAGAAGCUAGCAAAGAGAAUGGAUCACUUGGAGAGGGCAAGACGGCAGGAGGAAGCGCCACUGAUCGAGGAGGCCUUCCGAAAACGCGUCGAGGAAGAGAAGCUCCUCCACGAGCAGGAGCAGCUGAGAGAGACUGAGCUCAGCGAGCAACGCCACGCGGGUGACUUGCUGGAGAAGAAGAGGCUCUCUCGAUUGUUGGACCAUAAGAAUGCUUUCCAGGAAAGAGUUGUCCAACGCCGAGAAGCCGAGUUUCUUAGCCUGACGAAAGAGAGGGAGGAAAGGAUCAACCAGUUGAUCUCGUCAAGAAAACGUGAACGGGAGACUGCUCGGAAACUGACGUAUUAUCUGAAGAUGGAGGAACGGCGGAUCCAAAGGGCACGUGAGGAAGAGGAACAGCGGAUCCAAAGGGCGCGCGAGGAAGAGGAACAGCGGAUCCAAAGGGCGCGUGAGGAAGAGGAGCAACGUGAAGAGGAAGAGAGGAAGAGGAGGGAAGAAGCUCCUCCUGCAAGCAGUAAUCAACCCUGGCGUCGUAGAUCAGGGCCACUGGCAAACUCUUCUUCGUCCGGCAGCUGGAGGCACUGA